UGAGUAACAUCAACUGGAGGACCGAACCGACUAAUGUUGAAAAAUUAGCGGAUGACUUGUGGCUAGGGGUGAAAGGCCAAUCAAACUCGGAGAUAGCUGGUUCUCCCCGAAAGCUAUUUAGGUAGCGCCUCGGACGAAUACUACUGGGGGUAGAGCACUGUUAAGGCUAGGGGGUCAUCCCGACUUACCAACCCUUUGCAAACUCCGAAUACCAGUAAGUACUAUCCGGGAGACACACGGCGGGUGCUAACGUCCGUCGUGGAGAGGGAAACAACCCAGACCGCCAGCUAAGGUCCCAAAGUAUUGCUAAGUGGGAAACGAUGUGGGAAGGCUCAGACAGCUAGGAUGUUGGCUUAGAAGCAGCCAUCAUUUAAAGAAAGCGUAAUAGCUCACUAGUCGAGUCGGCCUGCGCGGAAGAUGUAACGGGGCUAAGCAAUACACCGAAGCUGCGGCAAUGUCUUUUAGACAUUGGGUAGGGGAGCGUUCUGUAAGCCGUUGAAGGUGAAUCGUAAGGUUUGCUGGAGGUAUCAGAAGUGCGAAUGCUGACAUGAGUAACGACAAAGGGGGUGAAAAACCUCCUCGCCGGAAGACCAAGGGUUCCUGUCCAACGUUAAUCGGGGCAGGGUGAGUCGACCCCUAAGGUGAGGCCGAAAGGCGUAAUCGAUGGGAAACGGGUUAAUAUUCCCGUACUUCUGACUAUUGCGAUGGGGGGACGGAGAAGGCUAGGUGGGCCAGGCGACGGUUGUCCUGGUUCAAGUGCGUAGGCUUGAGAGUUAGGUAAAUCCGGCUCUCUCUAAGGCUGAGACACGACGUCGAGCUACUACGGUAGUGAAGUCAUUGAUGCCAUGCUUCCAGGAAAAGCCUCUAAGCUUCAGAUAGUCAGGAAUCGUACCCCAAACCGACACAGGUGGUCGGGUAGAGAAUACCAAGGCGCUUGAGAGAACUCGGGUGAAGGAACUAGGCAAAAUGGUACCGUAACUUCGGGAGAAGGUACGCUCUUGAUGGUGAAGUCCCUCGCGGAUGGAGCUGACGAGAGUCGCAGAUACCAGGUGGCUGCAACUGUUUAUUAAAAACACAGCACUGUGCAAAAUCGCAAGAUGACGUAUACGGUGUGACGCCUGCCCGGUGCCGGAAGGUUAAUUGAUGGGGUUAGCGCAAGCGAAGCUCUUGAUCGAAGCCCCGGUAAACGGCGGCCGUAACUAUAACGGUCCUAAGGUAGCGAAAUUCCUUGUCGGGUAAGUUCCGACCUGCACGAAUGGCGUAAUGAUGGCCACGCUGUCUCCACCCGAGACUCAGUGAAAUUGAAAUCGCUGUGAAGAUGCAGUGUACCCGCGGCUAGACGGAAAGACCCCGUGAACCUUUACUACAGCUUGGCACUGAACAUUGAACCUACAUGUGUAGGAUAGGUGGGAGGCUAUGAAGACGUGACGCCAGUUGCGUUGGAGCCGUCCUUGAAAUACCACCCUUGUAUGUUUGAUGUUCUAACUUAGACCCAUUAUCUGGGUUGAGGACAGUGCCUGGUGGGUAGUUUGACUGGGGCGGUCUCCUCCCAAAGAGUAACGGAGGAGCACGAAGGUGGGCUAAUCACGGUUGGACAUCGUGAGGUUAGUGCAAUGGCAUAAGCCCGCUUAACUGCGAGAAUGACGGUUCGAGCAGGUGCGAAAGCAGGUCAUAGUGAUCCGGUGGUUCUGUAUGGAAGGGCCAUCGCUCAACGGAUAAAAGGUACUCCGGGGAUAACAGGCUGAUACCGCCCAAGAGUUCAUAUCGACGGCGGUGUUUGGCACCUCGAUGUCGGCUCAUCACAUCCUGGGGCUGAAGUCGGUCCCAAGGGUAUGGCUGUUCGCCAUUUAAAGUGGUACGCGAGCUGGGUUUAGAACGUCGUGAGACAGUUCGGUCCCUAUCUGCCGUGGGCGUUGGAAGAUUGAAGGGGGCUGCUCCUAGUACGAGAGGACCGGAGUGGACGAACCUCUGGUGUUCGGGUUGUGUCGCCAGACGCAUUGCCCGGUAGCUAAGUUCGGAAUUGAUAAGCGCUGAAAGCAUCUAAGCGCGAAGCGAGCCCUGAGAUGAGUCUUCCCUGACAGUUUAACUGUCCUAAAGGGUUGUUCGAGACUAGAACGUUGAUAGGCAGGGUGUGUAAGCGUUGUGAGGCGUUGAGCUAACCUGUACUAAUUGCCCGUGAGGCUUAACCAUACAACACCCAAGGGGUUUUGUA
Molecule: ribosomal RNA, 2212 nt
Filed under: Vibrio cholerae
Lineage: Bacteria; Pseudomonadati; Pseudomonadota; Gammaproteobacteria; Vibrionales; Vibrionaceae
Description: partial 23S ribosomal RNA
Rfam family: Bacterial large subunit ribosomal RNA
Source: RNAcentral